RNAcentral lists this ribosomal RNA (466 nucleotides) under uncultured bacterium. Its description in RNAcentral is "partial 16S ribosomal RNA". It matches the Rfam family "Bacterial small subunit ribosomal RNA", at positions 28 to 507 of the family's 1533-position model. The record is from RNAcentral.
GAUGAACGCUGGCGGCGUGCUUAACACAUGCAAGUCGAACGGUGAAGCCAAGCUUGCUUGGUGGAUCAGUGGCGAACGGGUGAGUAACACGUGAGCAACCUGCCCUGGACUCUGGGAUAAGCGCUGGAAACGGCGUCUAAUACUGGAUAUGAGCCUCUUCCGCAUGGUGGGGGUUGGAAAGAUUUUUUGGUCUGGGAUGGGCUCGCGGCCUAUCAGCUUGUUGGUGGGGUAAUGGCUCACCAAGGCGUCGACGGGUAGCCGGCCUGAGAGGGUGACCGGCCACACUGGGACUGAGACACGGCCCAGACUCCUACGGGAGGCAGCAGUGGGGAAUAUUGCACAAUGGGCGAAAGCCUGAUGCAGCAACGCCGCGUGAGGGAUGACGGCCUUCGGGUUGUAAACCUCUUUUAGCAGGGAAGAAGCGAAAGUGACGGUACCUGCAGAAAAAGCGCCGGCUAACUACGUG